AUUUAUGUAAUAUAAAUAUUAUAUUUGACUUCCAAUCAAAAAAUCUAGCAUAUAGUAUAAAUA
RNAcentral lists this transfer RNA (63 nucleotides) under Morimospasma tuberculatum. Its description in RNAcentral is "tRNA-Gly". The record is from RNAcentral. Lineage: Eukaryota; Metazoa; Arthropoda; Insecta; Coleoptera; Cerambycidae. RNAcentral also lists the same sequence under 1 other name.